This is a non-coding RNA of Acanthosepion pharaonis, 114 nucleotides long. NCBI's taxonomy places the organism in Eukaryota, Metazoa, Mollusca, Cephalopoda, Sepiida, Sepiidae. The record is from the annotation of a GenBank genome assembly.
UUACGGCCAUAUAGUUUUGAAACACCGGUUCCCAUACGAUCACCAAAGUUAAGCAACGUCGAGUCUGGUCAGUACCUAGAUGGGCGAAUGCUUGGGAAUACCAGGUACUGUAAG